UGGAAUGUUGUGAAGUAUGUGC
RNAcentral lists this microRNA (22 nucleotides) under Schistosoma mansoni. RNAcentral's name for it is "sma-miR-1b-3p". Its record names the gene sma-miR-1b-3p. Lineage: Eukaryota; Metazoa; Platyhelminthes; Trematoda; Strigeidida; Schistosomatidae. The record is from miRBase by way of RNAcentral.